AGAGUUUGAUCCUGGCUCAGGAUGAACGCUGGCGGCGUGCCUAAUACAUGCAAGUCGAGCGAACCACUUCGGUGGUGAGCGGCGAACGGGUGAGUAACACGUAGGUGAUCUGCCCAUCAGACGGGGACAACGAUUGGAAACGAUCGCUAAUACCGGAUAGGACGAAAGUUUAAAGGUGCUUCUGGCACCGCUGAUGGAUGAGCCUGCGGCGCAUUAGCUAGUUGGUAGGGUAAAGGCCUACCAAGGCGACGAUGCGUAGCCGACCUGAGAGGGUGAACGGCCACACUGGGACUGAGACACGGCCCAGACUCCUACGGGAGGCAGCAGUAGGGAAUCUUCGGCAAUGGGCGAAAGCCUGACCGAGCAAUGCCGCGUGAACGAUGAAGGUCUUAGGAUUGUAAAGUUCUUUUAUAAGGGAAGAAAAAGCACAAUGGACUUGUGCAUAUUGACGGUACCUUAAGAAUAAGCCACGGCUAACUACGUGCCAGCAGCCGCGGUAAUACGUAGGUGGCGAGCGUUAUCCGGAAUUAUUGGGCGUAAAGCGUGAGUAGGUGGCAUAUUAAGUCUAUAGUAAAAGGCUGUGGCUCAACCAUAGUAUGCUGUAGAAACUGGUAAGCUAGAAUUAGGGAGAGGUUAAUGGAAUUUCAUGUGUAGCGGUGGAAUGCGUAGAUACAUGAAGGAACACCAGUGGCGAAGGCGGUUAACUGGCCCUACAUUGACACUCAGUCACGAAAGCGUGGGGAGCAAAUAGGAUUAGAUACCCUAGUAGUCCACGCCGUAAACGAUGAGUACUAAGUGUUGGAGAAAUUCAGUGCUGAAGUUAACAUAUUAAGUACUCCGCCUGAGUAGUACGUUCGCAAGAAUGAAACUCAAAGGAAUUGACGGGACCCCGCACAAGCGGUGGAGCAUGUGGUUUAAUUCGAAGCUACGCGAAGAACCUUACCAGGGCUUGACAUGGCAUUAAAGGCUCUAGAGAUAGAGAGAUAGUUAUAGUGCACACAGGUGGUGCAUGGUUGUCGUCAGCUCGUGUCGUGAGAUGUUGGGUUAAGUCCCGCAACGAGCGCAACCCCUGUCCUUAUUUGCUAACAUUAAGUUGAGGACUAUAAGGAGACUGCCGGUGAUAAACCGGAGGAAGGUGGGGAUGACGUCAAAUCAUCAUGCCCCUUACGUCCUGGGCUACACACGUGCUACAAUGGCCGAUACAAAGAGAAGCAACCUCGCGAGAGCAAGCAAAACUCAUAAAGUCGGUCUCAAUUCGGAUUGGAGUCUGCAACUCGACUCCAUGAAGUCGGAAUCGCUAGUAAUCGUGAAUCAGCAAUGUCACGGUGAAUACGUUCCCGGGGUUUGUACACACCGCCCGUCAAACCAUGAGAGUUGGCAAUACCCGAAGUCGUGGAGGUAACCUGCAAAGGAGCCUUGCGCCGAAGGUAGGGCCGAUGAUUGGGGUUAAGUCGUAACAAGGUAUCCCUACGGGAACGUGGGGAUG
Molecule: ribosomal RNA, 1486 nt
Filed under: metagenome
Description: bacterial SSU rRNA
Rfam family: Bacterial small subunit ribosomal RNA
Source: RNAcentral